Long non-coding RNA from Thrips palmi, 266 nucleotides. RefSeq lists it as uncharacterized. The transcript has 2 exons. The record is from RefSeq and is a predicted model, not a curated record. NCBI's taxonomy places the organism in Eukaryota, Metazoa, Arthropoda, Insecta, Thysanoptera, Thripidae.
AUGAGGACGUGCCUCUUUCUGGUGGCCUUGCUGACGCUCUUCUCUUGGGCGAUGGCGGGGCCCUGCCUCUCAAGGCAGAGGGUCAUGACUCCACAGGGGUCGUACCACUCCUCCGGUUCUGGCGUCAGCUCACCAGCUUGCUCAAGCUCCGGGUCAUCGAAGGGAUCACCCAAGUCGUCGUUCAGCGCCAAGAGUCGUGGCUAAAGCUUCCGUGUGACUCGGCACUUCAUACCAUGUCCUCAAUAAACAAAAUCUUCUAGGUGAAA